CAGUCGCCACGGGAAUACAGAGGGUGCGAGCGUUAAUCGGAUUUACUGGGCGUAAAGCGUGCGUAGGCGGCUUCUUAAGUCGGAUGUGAAAUCCCUGAGCUUAACUUAGGAACUGCAUUCGAUACUGGGAAGCUAGAGUAUGGGAGAGGAUGGUAGAAUUCCAGGUGUAGCGGUGAAAUGCGUAGAGAUCUGGAGGAAUACCGAUGGCGAAGGCAGCCAUCUGGCCUAAUACUGACGCUGAGGUACGAAAGCAUGGGGAGCAAACAGGAUUAGAUACCCCUGUAGUCCCUGUCUCUUAUAA
RNAcentral lists this ribosomal RNA (301 nucleotides) under uncultured bacterium. Its description in RNAcentral is "partial 16S ribosomal RNA". It matches the Rfam family "Bacterial small subunit ribosomal RNA", at positions 509 to 809 of the family's 1533-position model. The record is from RNAcentral.